Molecule: RNase P RNA, 361 nt
Filed under: Gammaproteobacteria bacterium
Lineage: Bacteria; Pseudomonadati; Pseudomonadota; Gammaproteobacteria
Description: RNase P RNA component class A
Rfam family: Bacterial RNase P class A
About the family: Ribonuclease P (RNase P) is a ubiquitous endoribonuclease, found in archaea, bacteria and eukarya as well as chloroplasts and mitochondria. Its best characterised activity is the generation of mature 5'-ends of tRNAs by cleaving the 5'-leader elements of precursor-tRNAs. Cellular RNase Ps are ribonucleoproteins.
Source: RNAcentral
GGAGUUGAUCAGACAGUCGCCUCAUAUCAUGCAUAUGGGGAGGAAAGUCCGGACUCCGCCGGGCAAGGCGCCAGGUAACACCUGGGAGGCGAGAGCCUACGGAAAGUGCCGCAGAAAGCAAACCGCCUAAGUUCUGAUUCGAAAGGGUUGGGACCGGUAAGGGUGAAAGGGUGCGGUAAGAGCGCACCGCGCUGAUGGUAACAUCAGUGGCAGGGCAAACCCCGCCUGGAGCAAGACCAAAUAGGGAAACAAUGGUGUGGCCCACACUGUUUCCGGGUAGGUUGCAUGAGACGUAUGGUGACAUGCGCCCUAGAUGAAUGGCUGUCCUCGACAGAAUCCGGCUUAUCGAUCAAUACCCCGC